RNAcentral lists this ribosomal RNA (509 nucleotides) under uncultured bacterium. RNAcentral's name for it is "bacterial SSU rRNA". It matches the Rfam family "Bacterial small subunit ribosomal RNA", at positions 9 to 526 of the family's 1533-position model. The record is from RNAcentral.
GAGUUUGAUCCUGGCUCAGGAUAAACGCUGGCGGCGCACAUAAGACAUGCAAGUCGAACGGACUUAACCAUUAGUUUACUAUUGGAGCGGUUAGUGGCGGACUGGUGAGUAACACGUAAGCAACCUGCCUAUCAGAGGGGAACAACAGUUAGAAAUGACUGCUAAUACCGCAUAUGCCUUGAGUAUCGCAUGGUACAAGAGGGAAAGAAGCAAUUCGCUGAUAGAUGGGCUUGCGUCUGAUUAGAUAGUUGGUGUGGUAACGGCAUACCAAGUCUACGAUCAGUAGCCGGACUGAGAGGUUGAACGGCCACAUUGGGACUGAGAUACGGCCCAGACUCCUACGGGAGGCAGCAGUCGGGAAUAUUGCGCAAUGGAGGAAACUCUGACGCAGUGACGCCGCGUGCAGGAAGAAGGUUUUCGGAUUGUAAACUGCUUUAGACAGGGAAGAAACAAGACAGUACCUGUAGAAUAAGCUCCGGCUAACUACGUGCCAGCAGCCGCGGUAAUAC